GGAUAACCUACCCUUAGGACUGGGAUAACCCUGGGAAACUGGGGAUAAUACUAGAUAGGCAAUUUUUCCUGGAAUGGUUUUUUGUUUAAAUGUUUUUUCGCCUAAGGAUGGGUCUGCGGCCGAUUAGGUAGUUGGUUAGGUAACGGCUUACCAAGCCAUUGAUCGGUACGGGUUGUGAGAGCAAGAGCCCGGAGAUGGAACCUGAGACAAGGUUCCAGGCCCUACGGGGUGCAGCAGGCGCGAAACCUCCGCAAUGUGAGAAAUCGCGACGGGGGGAUCCCAAGUGCCAUUCUUAACGGGAUGGCUUUUCAUUAGUGUAAAGAGCUUUUGGAAUAAGGGCUGGGCAAGACCGGUGCCAGCCGCCGCGGUAACACCGGCAGCUCUAGUGGUAGCAGUUUUUAUUGGGCCUAAAGCGUCCGUAGCCGGUUUAAUAAGUCUCUGGUGAAAUCCUGUAGCUUAACUGUGGGAAUUGCUGGAGAUACUAUUAGACUUGAGACCGGGAGAGGUUAGAGGUACUCCCAGGGUAGAGGUGAAAUUCUGUAAUCCUGGGAGGACCGCCUGUUGCGAAGGCGUCUAACUGGAACGGUUCUGACGGUGAGGGACGAAAGUUAGGGGCGCGAACCGGAUUAGAUACCCGGGUAGUCCUAACUGUAAACGAUGCGGACUUGGUGUUGGGGUGGCUUUGAGCUGCUC
This 693-nucleotide ribosomal RNA is filed under the name uncultured archaeon. Its description in RNAcentral is "bacterial SSU rRNA". It matches the Rfam family "Archaeal small subunit ribosomal RNA", at positions 102 to 795 of the family's 1478-position model. The record is from RNAcentral.